UGCAUCGGCCGGGAAUCGAACCUGGGUGCCCGCGUGGCAGGCGAGCAUUCUACCACUGAACCACCGAUGC
Molecule: transfer RNA, 70 nt
Filed under: Cordylochernes scorpioides
Lineage: Eukaryota; Metazoa; Arthropoda; Arachnida; Pseudoscorpiones; Chernetidae
Description: tRNA-Gly
Source: RNAcentral